AGAAUAAAAUUAAUGGGGGUUAAAUUUAUUAAAAUAAAUUUUAAAUAAAUAUUUAAUGGGGGUUAAAGUAUUUUUUAAAGAAAAAAUUUAUAAAUUUAUAGUUAAAAGUAUUGUAAAAGAAAUUUGAAAUAAUUGAAAAUUUAUUGAAAAAAAAGUAAUUUUAAAUUAGUGUAUCUUGUGUAUCAGAGUUUAUUAAUAAAUAAUUUUUAGGGGGAAAAUUCUCGAAUUAAAAGGAGUUAAAUAAUUAAUUAAAGUUAUUGUGGUAAAAAUAUUUUUAAUAGUUAUUUUGAAAUGAAAAGUUAUUCGUUUUUUAAGAUAUCUAGUUUUUUUAGAAAAAAAUUUAAUUUUAAAUUAGUUUAUUUUAAAUUUAAUUAUUUAAAUUUAAGAAAAAUUUAAUUUUAUAUUUUAAGGGAUAAGCUUUAAAUUAAAAAACUAUAAAAAUUUAUAUUUAAAGAAAAAUUUUAUAAUUUAUAUUGUUAAUAAAAUUUAAUUUAUUAUAAAUAAUUUUUUUUUUAUAGUAAAAUUUAUUUAAUAUUUUAGGUUUUUAUAAAAAAAUAAUUUUUAAUUAGAAAAAUUUAAUUAAAAUGAUAAAAUUAGUAUAUUUAUAAAAAAUAAAAUUGUAGUAUUGAUAAUAUAUGAUUUUAAGGAAUUCGGCAAAAAUUUAUAUUCGCCUGUUUAUCAAAAACAUGUCUUUUUGUUUAUAAUUUAAAGUCUAAUCUGCCCACUGAUAAAUUAUUAAAGGGCUGCAGUAUUUUGACUGUACAAAGGUAGCAUAAUAAAUAGUCUUUUAAAUGGAGACUAGAAUGAAUGAUUGGACGAAAUAUAGACUGUCUCAAUAUUAAAAAUUGAAUUUAAUUUUUUUAUUAAAAAGUUAAAAUGUGAUUAAAAGACGAGAAGACCCUAUAGAGUUUUAUAAAAAUAUUAAUUAUAGUUAAUUUUAUAAAUUUAAAAUGAUAAUUUAUUAUAUUUUUAUUUUGUUGGGGUGAUAGUAAAAUUAAAAAAACUUUUAUUUUUAAUUGACAUUAAUAAGUGAAUUUAAUGAUCCAAAAUUUUUGAUUAUAAGAAAAAAUUACCUUAGGGAUAACAGCGUAAUUUUUUUUUUUAGUUCAAAUAAGAAAAAAAGUUUGCGACCUCGAUGUUGGAUUAAGAUAAAAUUUAAAUGCAAAAGUUUAAAAUUUUGAUCUGUUCGAUCAUUAAAAUCUUACAUGAUCUGAGUUCAAACCGGUGUGAGCCAGGUUGGUUUCUAUCUUUAAUAAAUUAAAAUAUUUUAGUACGAAAGGAUCAAAUAUUUAGAAUAAUUCUAAAAUAUAUGAAUAUUAUUAAUUAAUAUAGUAUAA
Molecule: ribosomal RNA, 1337 nt
Filed under: Amesia sanguiflua
Lineage: Eukaryota; Metazoa; Arthropoda; Insecta; Lepidoptera; Zygaenidae
Description: 16S ribosomal RNA
Source: RNAcentral